Molecule: transfer RNA, 64 nt
Filed under: Myodermum sp. MYO01
Lineage: Eukaryota; Metazoa; Arthropoda; Insecta; Coleoptera; Scarabaeidae
Description: tRNA-Asn
Source: RNAcentral
UUAGUUAAAACCAAAAAGAGGUAUGUUACUGUUAAUAACACCAUUGAGAUUAUCUCUAACUAAA